This 219-nucleotide non-coding RNA is filed under the name unclassified sequences. Its description in RNAcentral is "PAGEV RNA". It matches the Rfam family "PAGEV RNA". The record is from Rfam by way of RNAcentral.
CGCGCAUUGGAAUCAUGAUGACAGUGGUGCGACGGUGAGCUGAUAGGAGCGGAUCACGGGGAUCUAGUUACCGCUCCCGGUACAGCCCUCAGAUGUGAAAGUAGGCGCUUGAAGAUACGGGUCAAUGCUUCAAGAAUUCCGAAUUUUAUACACUGAUGAGGCCAAGCGCCGACUAGGGUGCGUCAGUCGUGGUAACUGGCGGAAAGCUUGGGCGCAGAG